This 422-nucleotide ribosomal RNA is filed under the name uncultured bacterium. Its description in RNAcentral is "partial 16S ribosomal RNA". It matches the Rfam family "Bacterial small subunit ribosomal RNA", at positions 360 to 774 of the family's 1533-position model. The record is from RNAcentral.
AAUAUUGGACAAUGGGGGCAACCCUGACCCAGCCAUGCCGCGUGUGUGAAGAAGGUCUNCGGAUUNUNAAGCACUUUAAGUUGGGNGGAAGGGCGUUAGGUUAAUACCCUGAAGUUUUGACGUUACCAACAGAAUAAUCACCGGCUAACCCUGGUCCAGCAGCCGCGGUAACUCGGAGGGUGCAAGCGUUAAUCGGAAUUACGGGGCGGAAAGCGCGCGUAGGUGGUUCAGUAAGAUAGGUGUGAAAUCCCCGGGCUUAACCUGGGAACUGCUUUCAUAACUGCUGAGCUAGAGUACGGUAGAGGGUAGUGGAAUUUCCUGUGUAGCGGUGAAAUGCGUAGAUAUAGGAAGGAACACCAGUGGCGAAGGCGACUACCUGGACUGAUACUGACACUGAGGUGCGAAAGCGUGGGGAGCAAACA